UAGCUCAUAGGGUCAUUUGAUACAAUUAUCCAGCAUCAGAACUACAGCAGUAGUAGCAAAGGCCAUCUUGACUAAAUACUUUGCUAUUUAAAACCUGUCCCUACCUUCUGGCACCCUGUUAAUUUCUCCAGCACAGCCAGUUCCUUUGUGCUGUCUGCAUAGCAGACCUUCAAGUGAAAUUACUGAGCUCUUUGUCUGUAUGUGCUCUCGUUGCCAUCCAUCCACACUCAUUCAGCUGCCUCUGUAUAUUGUAGACUAGAACAUGAAUCCAUGGAAAAAGAGUCUUCUGAACCCAUCUGCCUACUAUAAGGAGAAAUCCUGAAGUUCAAGAUAAGAUAAACACAGCCUUGUAAAAAAAAAAAAAAAUUUUUUUUUUCUGAUUCAUUUGCAUAUGUGCAUGUGCCCCCUUUAAAUGAAACACUGCUCUAGGGUAGGGCCAGUGCCUACAUCUUUGAACCUUUUACAAUAAAUAUUGUCCAAAAAUAUAAAAGACCA
This 495-nucleotide long non-coding RNA is filed under the name Apteryx owenii (little spotted kiwi). RNAcentral's name for it is "lncRNA (ENSAOWG00000009821.1)". Lineage: Eukaryota; Metazoa; Chordata; Aves; Apterygiformes; Apterygidae. The record is from RNAcentral.